UUCUAUAUAUACUAAAACCCAAACAUCUGAUUACUGUUCUAGGGCAGCGUGCGGACCAAAAUACCUCUCAAUUCGUUUGUUAAGCUAAUUUUUUGCCAUAUUUUCUACAGUAAAAUGACUUCCUCGCCCUCCCAGGCCACGCGUUCACCUCUCCGGUUUCGAUUUCUUUGGGUGCUUCGGUUCUCUCUCUCCAUUAUCAGCUUUUCUUAUUUUGAUUGACCCCGGCUCUCCCCGUCUCCCUCUUCGCCUCACUCUUCUCUGCACAAGCUGCUCGAUUUAGAGCUUCACCAUAUCUCUUCGAAUCAAGGUGUCUAUUUCUCUCCCUAUUUUCCCAAUCUAGGUUUCCCUCUGUCUCUGUGGAAAAACCCUAGAUAUCGCCGCUGCCGGAGAGUCGAAGCUCCGCCCUUUGAGCUUCAAUCGGCCUUGCCCAUCGCCUCCUCGCGGCGCCUCCACCUAAAUCCCUCUGGUUUUUGAAAAAAAAUUCACCUUCAGAGAUUGAGUAAAAAUAUAUAAAGGCUGUUGGUGAUCGGUAUAAGACAAAAUAAAAAAGACAACUUGGUGGAGAUCAGAUAUCUGAUGUGUUUGAUCAGCAUCUCCAUGUUGCUUUGAGUAAGCGCCUCCUGUAUAUAUGGAUGGAUUCACCUUGCAAACACUGAUCACUAGAAUAUUCAAAAGUUUUCAUUGGUCAUUUCACUUAGUAUACCUGCUGAUUGAGAAGAAAAAUAAUUAAUUUCGGAAAGCUCUGAUUGUUGCAGAGAUUGCAUUGUUUUUGGCUCAGAGGAAAAUUACAAUUGUCAAUUUGGAUGCUGCCAACGAUGCAUAACUGUAUCCUUUUCUCUAUUUUUUUGUGUUUUUUUCUCUUUCUAAUUUGCAGUAUUGCAUUGUAUUCCAAUGUAGAGUGUUGAGCCCUUAAUGAAUUUAGUUAUGAAUGUUUCGUGAACAUGGAGGAUCUUAUAAAACUCAGUCAUGUGAUGGUGGAGCGCUCUCUGGUCCCAAUGGAGUUGAAAUCAUUGAAGCCUCUUGCUUUUGCCCUUUGAUCAUCUUUAUCACCGCUUGAGUGUCAAAAUCAGCGGUUUCCUGUUUCGGGUAUAGAAUACCCUCAGAAGCUGACAGCCUGACUUUAAUUAUGCAUCCUGCCAUGAGAGGCCAUAACAGUACUUGUGAGUUUCCAUGGUUUGAAACAAGAGCCAGUUGUGGUAGGUACAUAUAAUGACUUAGUUCUGUGCUGCACAAGCGAGUUUAACCAGCGUGAUUACUACAUCUGCAAUCCAUAUACAAUCCAGUGGGUUCCUCUUCCUCCCCCACCACAAGUGUGCAAGUUUGUACUAGUGGGAUUCAUCUGUGAUCUUCCCUACUAUAACAACAAGGAAGAUUAUCAGCCAGGAGAUAUGAUCCAGCUUAAUGCGAAUUAUAGGUGCAGGGUUGUGAGAUUAAUGGAUCCUGAUGAUGCCGAUGACGAGGACAAGGACAUAAUAUAUUUCAGCAACUUCAAACUCAUCGACAUGAGAGAUUUCUGCACGUUCAAAGUGCAGAUCUUCUCUUCUGAGACUGGUGAAUGGAAGGAGACAACUGUAAGAUCCGAGAGAACUGUAACAUCCGCGUACAACUUUACUUUGGAAAUGAUGAGUGUCUGUACUGGCGUUGCUUCCAAACUAAUGCUGUAUUGGAUGGGCGAUGAUGAUGUCAUUCUUAUUCAGUUGGAUCCGUUCAUGAUCGACAAGAGUGCUAGUGCUACUUUAUCUACCUGUUAUAGACACCGUAUCAGGAAUGAGUGGGACGCUCUUCCAAUGAGGUGCAUAGCAGCGUAUGAUGGGGGUGUGCGGAUGUGCAACUAGGACUAUGUUUCCGCCUAUCUGUCUGUUUGUGAGUUGAAGGAAGAAGAAGAAGAUGAUGAUGAUCCGAGGGUGAGUAUCCAUGGAGGAUCAAAGAGUUUGUUUGUGAAACUUAAGAAGAGGGUUUAUUUGGUGGAUGAAACAAAGGUUGUGAUAGGUCCAUGGACAGAGAUUGAGGGGGUAUUUUUUGACCAAAAUAACGAGGAUACCUUGUAUAUGAUAGUAGAUACGAAGAAGCUCCAUGGUCGGAUAAAAGAUACUAUCAGGUGCAACAUUGUAACCGGAGAGGUGUCAAAGAUUGUUGGAAACAGAAAAUUUAAUUGUUUCAGAUUCUUCCCGAUUGUGAUCCUAUGGUGGCCGACUCCAGUCCCUCGACUAGCGCAAGGUGCAAUAUCCAAAUAGCGCAGAGGUGUCAAAGUAAAUUUUUUCAAAUUCUUCCCGGCCGUUUGAAAGCUUAUGUUUCCUUCUUGUUUGGUUGGUUCGAUGGUGAAGUUUGCUACGCUGUGGACUCAAACAAGUGAAGCUGGAGAUGGGUAGGAAAUUGGCAGGCGGAAUAGGGGGUGGCAUUGGCAUGAAUGUACAGAUUUCUACAUUGUAUUUGUUCAUCUCUCAAAGCCGUCGUCUUGUUAACUCAUUAUGCUUUAUUUUAUUUUCUUUGCUUCAAUUUCAAUAACUCAUUCCGCUUUAUUGCAUGAUGUCUUCGGUUAGCUUCAAGGGCUUCAAAUCUUUUCUUAUAGUCUCUUUCCAAGUCUUCCUAUAUAUUUCUUUACCUCUUUGGCCGCAACCUUCUAUCUCG
RNAcentral lists this small RNA (2628 nucleotides) under Malus domestica (apple). Its description in RNAcentral is "sRNA MD04G0145000". The record is from RNAcentral. Lineage: Eukaryota; Viridiplantae; Streptophyta; Magnoliopsida; Rosales; Rosaceae.